This 433-nucleotide ribosomal RNA is filed under the name uncultured bacterium. Its description in RNAcentral is "bacterial SSU rRNA". It matches the Rfam family "Bacterial small subunit ribosomal RNA", at positions 29 to 506 of the family's 1533-position model. The record is from RNAcentral.
GCGAACGCUGGCGGCAGGCUUAGCACAUGCAAGUCGAGCGGGCGUAGCAAUACGUCAGCGGCAGACGGGUGAGUAACGCGUGGGAACGUACUUUUUGGUUCGGAACAACACAGGGAAACUUGUGCUAAUACCGGAUAAGCCCUUACGGGGAAAGAUUUAUCGCCGAAAGAUCGGCCCGCGUCUGAUUAGCUAGUUGGUGAGGUAACGGCUCACCAAGGCGACGAUCAGUAGCUGGUCUGAGAGGAUGAUCAGCCACAUUGGGACUGAGACACGGCCCAAACUCCUACGGGAGGCAGCAGUGGGGAAUAUUGGACAAUGGGCGAAAGCCUGAUCCAGCCAUGCCGCGUGAGUGAUGAAGGCCCUAGGGUUGUAAAGCUCUUUUAGUGGGGAAGAUAAUGACGGUACCCACAGAAAAAGCACCGGCUAACUUCGU